This 2305-nucleotide ribosomal RNA is filed under the name human gut metagenome. RNAcentral describes it as "bacterial LSU rRNA". It matches the Rfam family "Bacterial large subunit ribosomal RNA", at positions 487 to 2809 of the family's 2925-position model. The record is from RNAcentral.
AUAGCGCAUAGUACCGUGAGGGAAAGGUGAAAAGAACCCCGGGAGGGGAGUGAAAAAGAACCUGAAACCCUGUGUUUACAAGCAGUGAAAGUGCGAGCAAGGCACGAUCACGUACUUUUUGUAGAACGGACCGGCGAGUUACGUUAUGCAGCAAGGUUAAGAACUGAAGGUUCGGAGCCGAAGCGAAAGCGAGUCUGAAUAGGGCGAUAGUUGCAUGACGUAGACCCGAAACCGGGUGACCUAUCCAUGAGCAGGUUGAAGUGGAGGUAAAGCUCCAUGGAGGACCGAACCAGACGUCUGUUGAAAAAGGCGGGGAUGACUUGUGGAUAGGGGAGAAAUUCCAAUCGAACCCGGAGAUAGCUGGUUCUCCUCGAAAUAGCUUUAGGGCUAGCCUCAUGGAUCAUUGGUGGGGGUAGAGCACUGAAUGUGCGCGGGGGCCACAAAGCCUACCAAACGCUAUCAAACUUCGAAUACCAUACAAUGCAGACCAUGGGAGUCAGUCCGCGAGAGAUAAGUUCCGCGGGCAAAAGGGGAACACCCCAGAUCAACCGCUAAGGUCCCCAAGUUCACGUUAAGUGGAGAAGGAUGUGGAAUUGCACAGACAACCAGGAUGUUGGCUCAGAAGCAGCCACACAUUUAAAGAGUGCGUAAUAGCUCACUGGUCGAGUGAUUGUGCGCCGAAGAUGUCCGGGGCUAAACGUGACACCGAAGCGAUGGGUGCAUCUGAAAGGAUGCGCGGUAGAGGAGCAAUGUGCAGAGGCAGAAGCCGUAUCGAGAGGCACGGUGGACACUGCACAAGAGAGAAUGCCGGUAUGAGUAGCGAGAGGCAUGCGAGAAACAUGCCCGUCGAAAGCCCAAGGUUUCCUGGGGAAGGUUCAUCCGCCCAGGGUAAGUCGGGGCCUAAGCCGAGGACGGAAGUCGUAGGCGAUGGACAGCAGGUGUAGAUUCCUGCACUACCGAUGGAAUGAAGCAGUGACACAGAAGGAUAACUCGAGCAGGGUGAUGGUCAACCCUGUGCAAGCAUUGAGGUUGGGUUGUAGUAAAGUACGCAAUCCUAUAAGCUGAGGUGUGAUGCGGACCGAAAUUUCAGUAGGGAAGCGAGUGAGUUCACGCUGGCGAGAAAAGCUGCUAGUACAUCCAAAGGUACCCGUACCGGAAACCGACGCAGGUGGGCGAGGAGAGAAUCCUGAGACGAACGGGAGAACCCUUGUUAAGGAACUCGGCAAAAUGACCCCGUAACUUCGGGAUAAGGGGUGCCUGCGAGAGCAGGCCGCAGAGAAUAGUCACAAGCGACUGUUUAGCAAAAACACAGGUAUCUGCGAAAGCGAGAGCUGACGUAUAGGUGCUGACACCUGCCCGGUGCUGGAAGGUUAAGGGAACAUGUUAGAGCAAUCGAAGCAUCGAACCGAAGCCCCAGUAAACGGCGGCCGUAACUAUAACGGUCCUAAGGUAGCGAAAUUCCUUGUCGGGUAAGUUCCGACCCGCACGAAUGGUGUAACGACUUGUGAGCUGUCUCAACAGGGGGCCCGGUGAAAUUGAAGUAUGGGUGAAGAUGCCCAUUACCCGCGACUGGACGGAAAGACCCCGUAGAGCUUUACUGCAGCCUGAUAUUGAGUUUCGGUAACUGAUGCACAGGAUAGGUGGGAGUCUGAGAGACACGGGUUUCGGCUCGUGUGGAGACGAUGUUGGGAUACCACUCUUCGGUUACUGAAAUUCUAACAUAGCUCUGUGAAACCAGAGGAUGGACAGUGUCAGGUGGACAGUUUGACUGGGGCGGUCGCCUCCGAAAGAGUAACGGAGGCGCCCAAAGGUACCCUCAGAAUGGAUGGAAACCAUUCGAAGAGAGCAAAGUCAGAAGGGUGCUUGACUGCGAGACCAACAAGUCGAGCAGGUACGAAAGUAGGGCUUAGUGAUCCGGCGGUAAGAGAGUGGAAUUGCCGUCGCUCAACGGAUAAAAGCUACCUCGGGGAUAACAGGCUGAUCUCCCCCAAGAGUCCACAUCGACGGGGAGGUUUGGCACCUCGAUGUCGGCUCGUCGCAUCCUGGGGCUGAAGCAGGUCCCAAGGGUUUGGCUGUUCGCCAAUUAAAGCGGCACGCGAGCUGGGUUCAGAACGUCGUGAGACAGUUCGGUCCCUAUCCAUCGUGGGCGUAGGAGUCAUGAGAGGAGCUGUUCCUAGUACGAGAGGACCGGAAUGGACGCACCACUGGUGCAACUGUUGUCGUGCCAACGGCAUAGCAGGGAAGCGAAGUGCGGAUGGGAUAAACGCUGAAGGCAUCUAAGCGUGAAGCCCACCUCAAGAAUAAG